CAGGACCCUGGGAUCAUGAUCUGAGCCGAAGGCAGACGCUUAUGAGUCACCCAGAGACUGUGGAUGAACACCAAAGAUGUCUGGGAAAUAUACUGUUGUCAUUGGAAUGACCAAGUAUACAUGUUUUAUAAAUCAGUGCAACACAGAUGGGAAGGCGCGAGCACGCCCGGAAACUGUCCACCACAGCUGCAGCUGGACACAGAGAAGCCCUUUAACUUCUGAACGGAGUGGCUUUUCUGAGAGCAGAGCCUGGGACGGCCACCCAACAUGCGGAGUAGAGGUGGCUAAGGACAUUGCCAGCCCAGCAGUCG
Lutra lutra (Eurasian river otter) is the source of this 311-nucleotide long non-coding RNA. RefSeq lists it as uncharacterized. The record is from RefSeq and is a predicted model, not a curated record. The transcript is spliced from 3 exons. NCBI's taxonomy places the organism in Eukaryota, Metazoa, Chordata, Mammalia, Carnivora, Mustelidae.